UGGCGGACGGGUGAGUAAUGUCUGGGAAACUGCCCGAUGGAGGGGGAUAACUACUGGAAACGGUAGCUAAUACCGCAUAACGUCGCAAGACCAAAGAGGGGGACCUUAGGGCCUCUUGCCAUCGGAUGUGCCCAGAUGGGAUUAGCUAGUAGGUGGGGUAACGGCUCACCUAGGCGACGAUCCCUAGCUGGUCUGAGAGGGUGACCAGCCACACUGGAACUGAGACACGGUCCAG
This 235-nucleotide ribosomal RNA is filed under the name uncultured bacterium. RNAcentral's name for it is "partial 16S ribosomal RNA". It matches the Rfam family "Bacterial small subunit ribosomal RNA", at positions 96 to 334 of the family's 1533-position model. The record is from RNAcentral.